GCCCCUAGGUGCCAUAGUAGCCUUAGGGCCCCACAGCCCAGAAGCUAAGCAGGGUCAGGCCUGGCAGGGCUUGGAUGGGGGACUGCCUGUAAAGGCCAGGUGCUGGAGGCU
This 111-nucleotide ribosomal RNA is filed under the name Cebus imitator (Panamanian white-faced capuchin). The record is from RNAcentral. Lineage: Eukaryota; Metazoa; Chordata; Mammalia; Primates; Cebidae.